RNAcentral lists this ribosomal RNA (363 nucleotides) under uncultured Glomus. RNAcentral describes it as "SSU rRNA". It matches the Rfam family "Eukaryotic small subunit ribosomal RNA", at positions 548 to 917 of the family's 1831-position model. Lineage: Eukaryota; Fungi; Glomeromycota; Glomeromycetes; Glomerales; Glomeraceae. The record is from RNAcentral.
UUGGAGGGCAAGUCUGGUGCCAGCAGCCGCGGUAAUUCCAGCUCCAAUAGCGUAUAUUAAAGUUGUUGCAGUUAAAAAGCUCGUAGUUGAAUUUCGGGACCAGUAGGUUGGCCGUGCCUACGGUACGUACUGGCUUCACUGGUUCCUCCCUUCUGACAAACCAUGAUGCCAUUAAUUUGGUGUUGUGGGGAAUCAGGACUGUUACUGUGAAAAAUUAGAGUGUUUAAAGCAGGCUUAAGCUUGAAUACAUUAGCAUGGAAUAAUGAAAUAUGACCCAGGGUCUAUUUCGUUGGUUUUGAGACCCAAAGUAAUGAUGAAUAGGAGUGGUCGGGGGCAUUUGUAUUUCGGCGCCUUACGGGAAAC